This is a long non-coding RNA of Pimephales promelas (fathead minnow), 270 nucleotides long. RefSeq lists it as uncharacterized. Lineage: Eukaryota; Metazoa; Chordata; Actinopteri; Cypriniformes; Leuciscidae. The record is from RefSeq and is a predicted model, not a curated record.
AAAAGCUAUCUGAUUCAAAGACAGGAGCGCGCGCGAGCACGAGCAGAUGGAAACCAUGGAAACGAGGAAACCUCAUCAACUGACAAACAGCAAGACUAGCGUCUCUCACUGUUGUUUUCUCUGCUUUCAGAAGAUCAUCUGAUUGCCUGCUGCACCCCCUGUCCAAGACAAUCUCCACGGCUAUGAACUCGACUAGACAAGAUCUUGAUGCCAUCCACACUCAGUACAUAAGGAAGGUUUUCUGGGAUCCAUUAUAUUCAUGUUAAACCU